GACGAACGCUGGCGGCGUGCUUAACACAUGCAAGUCGAACGGAAAGGCCCUGCUCUUGUGGGGUGCUCGAGUGGCGAACGGGUGUGUAUCACGUGAGUAGCCUGUCCUUGACUUUGGGGUAACUUCAGGGAACUGGGGCUAAUACAGGACAUGAGCUCCUUCUGCAUGGUGGUGGAUGGUGAAUUGCGGCGGUUGGGGAUGGAAUUGCGGCCUAUCAGUUUGUUGGUGAGGUAGUGGCGUACCAAGGCUUCGACGGGUAGCCGGCCUGAGAGGGUGACAGGCCACAUUGGGACUGGGGAGGGAGCAAGACGGCAACGGGGGGCAGGAGCGGGAGUCAGACCAAGAUGGGCGGAGUCAGGAUGCAGCAUCGCCGGGUCGGGGAUGACGGUCUGCGGGGUGGAAACCGCUUGCGCCUGGAACGAAGCGUGAGUGACGGUAAUGGGUAAAGAAGCACCGGCUAACUACGUG
Molecule: ribosomal RNA, 468 nt
Filed under: uncultured bacterium
Lineage: Bacteria
Description: partial 16S ribosomal RNA
Rfam family: Bacterial small subunit ribosomal RNA
Source: RNAcentral